This 78-nucleotide transfer RNA is filed under the name Sphaerodactylus townsendi. Its description in RNAcentral is "tRNA-Thr". Lineage: Eukaryota; Metazoa; Chordata; Lepidosauria; Squamata; Sphaerodactylidae. The record is from RNAcentral.
CCAUGGCUCACUGGUAGAGUGUUUUGUUUGGUAUGCAGAAAGUCCCAGGUUCAAUCCCUGCCAUCCCUGGUUGAAAGG